AUCCGCGAGAGAGGCGCGCGCCCGCCACCGCUGGGGGCUCCAGCCGCCCGCCGACCCGGGCCUGGCAGAGGGGACGCGGCGCCCAAGCCGCUCCUCCGGAUGGCGACAGAGACGGCCUGACGCGCCCGCAGCCUGGGCCCCCCACGGGGAGGACGGCCGGGCCAGGUGAAGUUCGCGCACUUGGGCCUUCCGCGCCCCCAUCCACCGCAGCCAGGGCCUGGAAGGCUGGGGAGGGGGCGGGGGCGGCAGACGCCUCCUAAGGUGGGUUCUGGGACUUGGAUCCGGAGUUUAUUCCAAGGAGAGGGUGCUCUGGGCCUGUUCCCUAGGUGUGCCCUGUUACCCAAAAUCGGGCUUGUGCAGUGGGGUCCCUGAGUCCACUGGGAGCACAGCCUCAGACCCCAGCAGAGUCACCCUUCAUCGGAAGCCCACCACCCUGAGGGCUCCUCCUCCACCUGGGGCGGCACUGCCAGGCACAGGCACGCACUUUCCCUCAGUCCUCUGCCCCACGAUCACUCUACUCGGGCACCUCUGCCACUGCCUGGUCCUUGCUGAGCCAUCUCCUGGUUCAUCUCCCUGGAGUCCCUGCAGGACCGGCUCUCAGUGGCGUCUCCGGGCUCCCAGUCCCAGGACUGGUCCUAUCCAGCCCAGGAGAUACGCUCCCCAGUCCAGGAUGUCCAGAUGGCCCUGCUGCCUGGAGAGGCUCUGGCCCCUGCCGGGCUGGGGGCUUGAGCACCCCAGGAGAUUCUUUUGGCGCUGGAGACCCUUUUCUGAGGAGCCAGUAGAGGGCCUGCAAGUCAGAUUGAGCAACCAGGGAGAAGAAGCAUCAUCCCUUCAUCUUGAGGCCUGGUCCAGGGAGGUGAAGGGAUGUGGACUGUCCCCAGCCGUACACUCACCCACAACUCAUGCAUGCAAGCAUUCAUGCCCCAAUGCACACACAGCACCACACACACACAUAUUUUCCUUGAAUCUCUCUCUCUCUCUCUCACACACACACACACACACACACACACACACACUCUCCCAUCCACACACACACAACACUUUAGGAGAAACUGAGCAAAGAAAGGCAGCCUCUCACUGCGAGUCCUCUAACCCCCGUCCCAGUGGUUGUUGUGCACUGAAGCUUCCUUGCCAGGGGCUCUGACGGGAUUCUUGUGUUAAUAUGAUUGUGUCCAUGCUUGUUUUCUCCCAUCAAUUUUGAAUCCUGUUUAAUUAAAACGCUGACUUUCCUGUUUAGUAUCUUCUCAACUGCAGCUUCUCCCCGCUCUCUUUCCUGGCAGGGAGGUGAUUCUGCAGAAGUUGGGGCUCCUGACAACUUUGGGGUGGCCAUGAGGGACGUACCUCUUGCCUCUGGAUGUGCAGGAUUCCAAUUCAUCCUGUCCAUCCCGAACUCCUGUGCCAGACAUUCCUUCAUUCAACCUCUGUUUAUUGAGCAACUACUUGGGCCAGGCACUGGGACUGGGGAAGCCAACAAGACAUAGAUUUUCUGUCCCCCUGGAAAGUGACAGUCAGUUUGAGAAACAGACAAGGAAACAAACAAUUCCAGUGCAGUGUGGCAAGCGUCACGAUGGGAGGGAGAGGAGAGCACUCUUGGAGCACAAGAGAGGAGCAUUUACCCUAAAAUCACACUCUAGAACACAGCAAGGUGUGUGCCAGGGAAGGCUUCCAGGAGACUGGUUUCCAGGCCCUUUUGGUCCAUCCUUAGGACAAACACACACACACAUGCACACAUAUAUGCACAUACAUGAACACACACACGCACGUGAACACACAGGCACACACAUCCACACACACGCACAUACAUGCACACACAUGCUUUAACACACAUGCACACACGCAUGCACAAACAUGCUUGGAGUGAAACUUUCCGAAGCAAUAUUUACCCCAAAAAUACUCUGAUGUUUUCUAUUGUAUCCUAAUUCAUUUUUGAAAUGCUGGUUGCCCUCCCAAUAAUUUGGUUUAUAGUAAUUUUCUUUCUUUAAAAAAUAUGGUUUGAAGAGAGAUGCAGUCUACCUUGACUUUGGGAGGGUAUAUUGGAGGCUUCUUGCCAAAGGACAGGGGCUGUGGUGACAAUGGGGUGGCUGGGGAGGGCUCCCAAGCAGAGGAGAAGGGGUGCAGUGCGGUACCCGGCCUGCUGUAUCCAGGAACUCAGACACUGAGGUUUUUGUGCUCGCAACAUUAGGGCUAUGGCGGGGAACCUUGGGCUAUGGGAGAGCAGUGCCUGGUUCAUUACAUGCUGAAUAUUUCCAGAAAAAGGGAAUGGAAGGGGAGCCCUUGGUGCUUAUGACUUGGAGUCUAGAAUGGUGGAGAGUCUGAAAAUGGUGACGCUAGAAAAGGUGAAUUCUCCACCCCAGGUUACAAGUAGACGGACCUGAGGAGUGGGGAGGCAGGGGGGAGGUGUGGGGUCCGAGAUCAGAUUGAAGAGAUGGGGUCUCCCUGGGACAGCAACCUUGAGGUAAUUACAAAGACACCACCCCCGGGCAGCCCGAAGGCAAGGGCAGGUGCCUGGUCCAGCCCCAUCCCGGCCUUGUUUCCAGAGGCCUGGAGAGAGAGACCAAGAUGGAAAUUGAGGAUGGGGGGUGAGCGCAGCCUGAAUUCGGUUGCUAGGGAACAGAAAGCUCUGCUCUGGAUCGCAACACACGCUACGGAUUGACGAUUUUGUUGUUGUUGUUGAUGGGCUGGUUUUGAUUACUAGCCAGAACUGACAGGAGUUUAGAUUUUGAAACCUAAAUAAGUCUAUUAAGGAAUCACACCAUCACCUUAACUCCUACCCAAAAACGCAGGGGAUGGCAAUGGUGUAACCCUUGAGGGAGUCCUCGGCUCUCACCCCACACCAAGCCACCAGUCCUGGGACUGCUUCAGAGGCCUGACCCAUAGAAGGGGCAUCCUGCAUGGCGGGGCACCCAGGGUGUCGGAGGAGGGCAAUAGAAAAAGGGGCGUUACCCAGAGAGGAGGGGCGGCUGACCAGGGUGCGGACCCAGGCACGUACUGCAGUCAGGUGGCAGCCUCGCUGUCCUCCUGGGGAUGUGAGCCCACUGCUCGCUGUGUUCUGCUGUGGUCGGCGGGGGUGGGUUGUUCUCUCUCCACUCCUCCCUGCGGUGAGGGUGUUUUCUAUUUGCCAUUAGGUUGCGGGUGCCCAACUGACCAAGGGCUUGCUGAGAUACUGAAUUUGGAGCUGAAUGUUUUCACGGGGUGAGAUGUCAGGAUGUCCCUGCUGAUACAGUGGGAGAAAAAAUGUAUUUUAUGCAAGGCCAGCGCUAUCUCCUAAAGGAAGCACACAGGUCUCUGAACAGCAGGUCGCGAAAGGUGGGGGCUGUAGCGGGCUAUUGUGCCUGCUCUCCCAGGGAUCUGUGCCUCCCUCUGAAAACAAUUGCAGGCUUUCACCUUCCACACACAUAUCCCAUGUGCAUUUUACCAAGAGGUUACUCUGACAGCUGGGGGAGGACCCAGGUUGGCAGAGAGAAUUGAGCCAGCUUGGCAGUGGCUGGGAAGAUCCAGAUGAGAGCCGGGGUGGCUGGCUUCUCAGGAGCAGCUGUCAAGGCAGGGAUGUGGGGGGCUUGGCAGCUAUCCAGGAAGUAGAACUGACAGGCUAUGGGGACUCCGGAGUGGUGGGCAUGGCAGAGAUGUCCCAAGUGACUCCCCAGGCUUCUGGCUAGAGAACCUGGGCAUGGCUGGGUGUGGUGGUUCCCGCCUAUAAUUCUAGCACUUUGGCAGGCCAAGAGGAGAGGGUAGCUUGAGGCCAGGAAUUCAAGACCAGCCUGGGCAACAGAGCAAGACCCCCAUCUCUACAAAAAAUCAAAAAGUUAGGCAGCAUGGUGGCACACACCUGUAGUCACAGCUACUUGGGAGGCUGAGGUGGGUGGAUCGCUUGAGCCCAUGAGUUCGAGGCUGCAGUGAGCUCUGACUGUAUAACUGUACUCUGGCGUGGGCGA
Molecule: long non-coding RNA, 3932 nt
Filed under: Homo sapiens (human)
Lineage: Eukaryota; Metazoa; Chordata; Mammalia; Primates; Hominidae
Description: non-protein coding lnc-BRD1-29:2
Source: RNAcentral